GUUAAGCGACUAAGCGUACACGGUGGAUGCCCUGGCAGUCAGAGGCGAUGAAGGACGUGCUAAUCUGCGAUAAGCGUCGGUAAGGUGAUAUGAACCGUUAUAACCGGCGAUUUCCGAAUGGGGAAACCCAGUGUGUUUCGACACACUAUCAUUAACUGAAUCCAUAGGUUAAUGAGGCGAACCGGGGGAACUGAAACAUCUAAGUACCCCGAGGAAAAGAAAUCAACCGAGAUUCCCCCAGUAGCGGCGAGCGAACGGGGAGCAGCCCAGAGCCUGAAUCAGUGUGUGUGUUAGUGGAAGCGUCUGGAAAGGCGCGCGAUACAGGGUGACAGCCCCGU
This 338-nucleotide ribosomal RNA is filed under the name Escherichia coli. RNAcentral describes it as "partial 23S ribosomal RNA". It matches the Rfam family "Bacterial large subunit ribosomal RNA", at positions 1 to 376 of the family's 2925-position model. The record is from RNAcentral. Lineage: Bacteria; Pseudomonadati; Pseudomonadota; Gammaproteobacteria; Enterobacterales; Enterobacteriaceae.